CAGGGAGACAACAAAAUGUUUAAUAUUAUUAUUUUGUCACCUUAGGUCGAUCGGUAUCUCACGUUCUUAAUUUGUUAAGAAUUUCAUUUCCUAAGUUUUUCUAGGUCACACCCAUUUUUUUUCCUGGGCCAUUAGCUCAGGUGGUUAGAGCGCACCCCUGAUAAGGGUGAGGUCCCUGGUUCAAGUCCAGGAUGGCCCAUUCGUUGUUGGGGGUAUAGCUCAGUUGGUAGAGCGCCUGCUUUGCAAGCAGGAUGUCAGCGGUUCGAGUCCGCUUACCUCCACUGAUUACCACCUCUUCCAUAAAUCUGUGAGAAAGGAAAAAUUUUUGUGUUGUGACCAUAUUCUGAACGAAUCUAGCUUCCUAAUAUUUUUAUUAAGAUGCUGGACUCAUUGAAUUAAUUUCAUUGUUUUCAGAGAACCUUGACAACUGCAUAGAUUUUUUUAAAGACAAUAAGCAUCUUAAUGAUGCAGAUUUAUUAUUUGUGCGAAUGCAUUAAUAACAAUUCUAUUAAGCUGAUGCUUCAAUUUUUGAAGUUAUU
This 539-nucleotide transfer RNA is filed under the name uncultured cyanobacterium. Its description in RNAcentral is "partial 16S-23S ribosomal RNA intergenic spacer". The stretch from base 209 to 281 matches the Rfam family "tRNA". The record is from RNAcentral. Lineage: Bacteria; Bacillati; Cyanobacteriota.